UGCUAAAUCUGCAGGUGACUUGACUCCCAGC
Molecule: non-coding RNA, 31 nt
Filed under: Homo sapiens (human)
Lineage: Eukaryota; Metazoa; Chordata; Mammalia; Primates; Hominidae
Source: RNAcentral